RNAcentral lists this ribosomal RNA (465 nucleotides) under uncultured bacterium. Its description in RNAcentral is "partial 16S ribosomal RNA". It matches the Rfam family "Bacterial small subunit ribosomal RNA", at positions 28 to 507 of the family's 1533-position model. The record is from RNAcentral.
GACGAACGCUGGCGGCGUGCUUAACACAUGCAAGUCGUACGGUAAGGCCCUUUCGGGGGUACACGAGUGGCGAACGGGUGAGUAACACGUGAGUAACCUGCCCACAACUUUGGGAUAACGCUAGGAAACUGGUGCUAAUACUGGAUAUGUGCUCCUGCUGCAUGGUGGGGGUUGGAAAGCUCCGGCGGUUGUGGAUGGACUCGCGGCCUAUCAGCUUGUUGGUGGGGUAGGGGCCUACCAAGGCGGCGACGGGUAGCCGGCCUGAGAGGGUGACCGGCCACAUUGGGACUGAGAUACGGCCCAGACUCCUACGGGAGGCAGCAGUGGGGAAUAUUGCACAAUGGGCGCAAGCCUGAUGCAGCAACGCCGCGUGCGGGAUGACGGCCUUCGGGUUGUAAACCGCUUUCAGCAGGGACGAAGCUUUUUGUGACGGUACCUGCAGAAGAAGCACCGGCUAACUACGUG